GCGGGCGUAGCUGAGUGGUCCAGCACCAGCUUCCCAAGCUGGGGAUCGUGGGUUCGAUUCCCAUCGCCCGCUCCA
This 75-nucleotide transfer RNA is filed under the name Candidatus Rokuibacteriota bacterium. RNAcentral describes it as "Candidatus Rokubacteria bacterium (sediment metagenome) tRNA-Gly". It matches the Rfam family "tRNA". Rfam says of the family: Transfer RNA (tRNA) molecules are approximately 80 nucleotides in length. Their secondary structure includes four short double-helical elements and three loops (D, anti-codon, and T loops). Further hydrogen bonds mediate the characteristic L-shaped molecular structure. tRNAs have two regions of fundamental functional importance: the anti-codon, which is responsible for specific mRNA codon recognition, and the 3' end, to which the tRNAs corresponding amino acid is attached (by aminoacyl-tRNA synthetases). tRNAs cope with the degeneracy of the genetic code in two manners: having more than one tRNA (with a specific anti-codon) for a particular amino acid; and 'wobble' base-pairing, i.e. permitting non-standard base-pairing at the 3rd anti-codon position. The record is from RNAcentral. Lineage: Bacteria; Candidatus Rokuibacteriota.